This 252-nucleotide long non-coding RNA is filed under the name Mustela putorius furo (domestic ferret). Its description in RNAcentral is "lncRNA (ENSMPUG00000025038.1)". Lineage: Eukaryota; Metazoa; Chordata; Mammalia; Carnivora; Mustelidae. The record is from RNAcentral.
AUGAAUGAAGCAAGUAACACUGUCCACAGGAAGGUGCCAGACAACACUUGUUCAUCCCAGCUCUUGGAAAUGCUCACUGGUCAGGUGCUUGGCCUCCAUGCGGGCGCCUCUUCUCCUGUGUGGGGCCUGGGCACAGGAAAAGCGAGUGCCAACCACCACAACAUAGUAAUUCUGCCCCGUGGAGAGUUUUAGCACUUGUUCUUGUUUUAAGGACUGCCUGUAUGACUUUUACUAUAUUAAACAUAGAACUCC